AACGAACGCUGGCGGCACGCUUAACACAUGCAAGUCGAACGAAGCUAUAGGGCUUGCUCUAUAGACUGAGUGGCAGACGGGUGAGUAACACGUGGGAAUUUACCAUUUGGUGGGGGAUAACAUCUGGAAACGGAUGCUAAUACCGCAUAAGCCCUGAGGGGGAAAGAUUUAUUGCCGAAUGAUAAGCCCGCGCGAGAUUAGCUAGUUGGUAAGGUAAAAGCUUACCAAGGCGACGAUCUCUAGCUGGUCUGAGAGGAUGAUCAGCCACACUGGGACUGAGACACGGCCCAG
RNAcentral lists this ribosomal RNA (291 nucleotides) under uncultured bacterium. Its description in RNAcentral is "partial 16S ribosomal RNA". It matches the Rfam family "Bacterial small subunit ribosomal RNA", at positions 29 to 334 of the family's 1533-position model. The record is from RNAcentral.